AGAGUUUGAUUAUGGCUCAGAACGGAACGCUGGUGGCCGUGUCUUAUACAUGCAAGUCGAGCGAGGCAGCAAUGCCGAGCGGCGAACGGGUGAGUAACGCGUAAGCAAUCUGCCCCAUAUCAGGAAAUACCCGUGCCAACGCGCGGUUAAUGUCCAGGAGAGUGGCCAGCUGCAUGGCUGGUUGACUAGAGAUUUAUCGGUAUGGGAUGAGCUUGCGUCCGAUUAGCUAGUGGCGGGCAACGGCCCACCAAGGCGACGAUCGGUAGCCGGCCUGAGAGGGUGAUCGGCCACAUUGGGACUGAGAUACGGCCCAGACUCCUACGGGAGGCAGCAGUAGGGAAUAUUGCACAAUGGGGGAAACCCUGAUGCAGCAACGCCACGUGUGGGAAGAAGCAUUUCGGUGUGUAAACCACUGUCAUGAGGGAAUAAGGCCCGCCUUCGGACGGGAUUGAAUGUACCUUGAGAGGAAGCACCGGCAAACUUCGUGCCAGCCGCGGC
RNAcentral lists this ribosomal RNA (498 nucleotides) under uncultured bacterium. RNAcentral describes it as "bacterial SSU rRNA". It matches the Rfam family "Bacterial small subunit ribosomal RNA", at positions 8 to 518 of the family's 1533-position model. The record is from RNAcentral.